Molecule: transfer RNA, 59 nt
Filed under: Enterobacter cloacae
Lineage: Bacteria; Pseudomonadati; Pseudomonadota; Gammaproteobacteria; Enterobacterales; Enterobacteriaceae
Also listed under: 3 other names
Description: tRNA-Asp
Rfam family: tRNA
About the family: Transfer RNA (tRNA) molecules are approximately 80 nucleotides in length.
Source: RNAcentral
AGUUCAGUCGGUUAGAAUACCUGCCUGUCACGCAGGGGGUCGCGGGUUCGAGUCCCGUC